RNAcentral lists this ribosomal RNA (404 nucleotides) under uncultured bacterium. RNAcentral describes it as "partial 16S ribosomal RNA". It matches the Rfam family "Bacterial small subunit ribosomal RNA", at positions 28 to 526 of the family's 1533-position model. The record is from RNAcentral.
GAUGAACGCUGACAGAAUGCUUAACACAUGCAAGUCAACUAUUGCGGACGGGUGAGUAACGCGUAAAGAACUUGCCUCACAGUUAGGAACAACAUUUAGAAACGAAUGCUAGUCCCUAAUACUGUGAGAGAGCUUUGCGUCCCAUUAGGUAGUUGGAGAGGUAACGGCUCACCAAGGCGAUGAUGGGUAGCCGGCCUGAGAGGGUGAUCGGCCACAAGGGGACUGAGAUACGGCCCUUACUCCGACGGGAGGCAGCAGUGGGGAAUAGUGGACAAUGGACCAAAGUCUGAUCCAGCAAUUCUGUGUGCACGAUGAAGUUUUCGGAAUGUAAAGUGCUUUCAGUUGGGAAGCGGUACCAACAGAAGAAGUGACGGCUAAAUACGUGCCAGCAGCCGCGGUAAUAC